Molecule: long non-coding RNA, 991 nt
Organism: Trifolium pratense (red clover)
Lineage: Eukaryota; Viridiplantae; Streptophyta; Magnoliopsida; Fabales; Fabaceae
Exons: 2
Source: RefSeq, a predicted model, not a curated record
CCUUAUCUUUUCGUUUUCAUUAUUAAGAUAAAAUGUUUUGAGUUUAUAUUAUUUAGUAUGUUUUUCAUAUUUUGUUUUGUUUGACAAACUCACAAUGCUUCUUGUUAACGCAUCGUGAGUUUGAGGGUAGGUGUUAAGAUAAUAAGUUGUUGGGCUUUAUAUUAUUGGCUCAUUAGGUUUAUAGUCCAUUAGGUUUUGCUAUAUAAUCUCUUGUAACUCUGUUUUAUCAAGUAAUGCAAUUCUAAUUUUAUGUAACCCUAGUUGCCUCCUUUGUUAUUCUUAGUUUGUAUCUUUGAUUCUAACAUGGUAUCAAGAGCAAGGUUCAAUCCACCUUGAACUCUUUGUCAGUUUCGUUGUUUAGUUCCCAAAAAAUUUGGGAAUGUGUUUGCUUUGCUCUUUGAGGAUUGAUUGUUGUUGUGCUUAUGCUGGAGAUCGGAAGGUUGUCUCUUUUAUUGUGCUUGUUAUUUUGUUGCGGACAUCUUAUAGAUUUGAUGGUAGCUUCCUCUGUUUUUCUCCAAUAAGUUCACUUUGGAUUGGAACAAUUUGGUUUGGUAAAGUUUGGAUUUGGUUAGCUUGGACUGAAUUGGAUAAAAUGGAUGUUAGCUUGGUUUGAUUUGAUUCUCCUCUCUAUCUCUGAAGGUUCCUCUUUUGGUACUAUCUGUGGCUCUUGGUUAUGAUAUUAGUUGAUUUAGUUUAAUUUUAUGAGUUAAUUUUGUAACAAGCUUAAAAGCUUAGUAAGCUUUAGCUUGAGGGGUAGUAUUAAGAUAAAAUUUUUGAGUUUAUAUUAUUUAGUAUGUUUUUCGUAUUUUGUUUUGUUUGACAAACUCACAAUGCUUCUUGUUAACGCAUCGUGAGUUUGAGGGUAGGUGUUAAGAUAAUAAGUUGUUGGGCUUUAUAUUAUUGGCCCAUUAGGUUUAUAGUCCAUUAGGUUUUGCUAUAUAAUCUCUUGUAACUCUGUUUUAUCAAGUAAUGCAAUUCUAAUUUUAUGUAA